AUUACCCCCAUAGCACGCACUGAAUAGUUUAGCAAGUCCGCACGUGGGCCACAGCCCUCCCCCUCCCAGCACAGCAGGUCAGACAGCGGCAUUGGCUGUGAGCACGACGCCUUGGGGCGUAGCCAAAGCUGGCGUACUAGAUGCCUCUGAUGUCCAUGGUCCCCCCUUACCCCUCCCUUCAUGCACCAGUGGCAGUAUGUACCUUCCAACUUUCUGACCCAGGUCCCAAAUCUUGGGGUGACAGGACAGUGCCCCCCACAUUGAAUGCAGCAAAUAUCCUGAAUUCUCCUUAUCCCAGAGGGGGGUAAACCAGAAAUGUCUCAGUAAGGGGACGCUGGAGGCUCAUUAGAAGAAAAAUCUCUAUUUAGAAAACUCUCGGCAGAAGGAAGAGAAUCUCUGGGGAGAGAGAUUUAUCCAUCUGGCUAAGGGCUGCACACCGAGAAGGGCACUGUCUGUCUGCGUCUUGUGGGUAACAGAUAUUUGCAGACGGGGAGAGGUAACGCACAAGGGAGAGGAAGAAAUAGGUCAAAUAUUUGCAGGAGCAAGAAAAAACGAUUUCACCAGGACGAACCGACUGCAAUCAGCAUAUAACCAGGCGCUCCGAGGCUUGGGGAGCUGAUGACUGCAAAGAACAGACCGGAGGACUGAAAUAGAGGAGCUUAAAUGUGAUUUCCAAGCUAUAUUUAUCAAUAGGUGAGGAGCCCUGUUGCCAGUGGAAAGAGCGAUAGUCUCAAAAUGUCAUCUUACGUGACUGAGCCCCUUUAGCAAGUACUUGAAUCAUUUUAAU
Molecule: long non-coding RNA, 787 nt
Organism: Pseudophryne corroboree (corroboree frog)
Lineage: Eukaryota; Metazoa; Chordata; Amphibia; Anura; Myobatrachidae
Exons: 3
Source: RefSeq, a predicted model, not a curated record